AUCUCUUGACGUUAGCAACAGAAGAAGCACCGGCUAACUCCGUGCCAGCAGCCGCGGUAAUACGGAGGGUGCGAGCGUUAAUCGGAAUUACUGGGCGUAAAGCGCAUGCAGGUGGUUCAUUAAGUCAGAUGUGAAAGCCCGGGGCUCAACCUCGGAACUGCAUUUGAAACUGGUGAACUAGAGUACUGUAGAGGGGGGUAGAAUUUCAGGUGUAGCGGUGAAAUGCGUAGAGAUCUGAAGGAAUACCAGUGGCGAAGGCGGCCCCCUGGACAGAUACUGACACUCAGAUGCGAAAGCGUGGGGAGCAAACAGGAUUAGAUACCCUGGUAGUCCACGCCGUAAACGAUGUCUACUUGGAGGUUGUGGCCUUGAGCCGUGGCUUUCGGAGCUAACGCGUUAAGUAGACCGCCUGGGGAGUACGGUCGCAAGAUUAAAACUCAAAUGAAUUGACGGGGGCCCGCACAAGCGGUGGAGCAUGUGGUUUAAUUCGAUGCAACGCGAAGAACCUUACCUACUCUUGACAUCCAGAGAAGCCAGCGGAGACGCAGGUGUGCCUUCGGGAGCUCUGAGACAGGUGCUGCAUGGCUGUCGUCAGCUCGUGUUGUGAAAUGUUGGGUUAAGUCCCGCAACGAGCGCAACCCUUAUCCUUGUUUGCCAGCGAGUAAUGUCGGGAACUCCAGGGAGACUGCCGGUGAUAAACCGGAGGAAGGUGGGGACGACGUCAAGUCAUCAUGGCCCUUACGAGUAGGGCUACACACGUGCUACAAUGGCGCAUACAGAGGGCGGCGAACUUGCGAGAGUGAGCGAAUCCCAAAAAGUGCGUCGUAGUCCGGAUUGGAGUCUGCAACUCGACUCCAUGAAGUCGGAAUCGCUAGUAAUCGUAGAUCAGAAUGCUACGGUGAAUACGUUCCCGGGCCUUGUACACACCGCCCGUCACACCAUGGGAGUGGGCUGCAAAAGAAGUGGGUAGUUUAACCUUUCGGGGAGGACGCUCACCACUUUGUGGUUCAUGACUGGGGUGAAGUCGUAACAAGGUAGCCCUAGGGGAACCUGGGGCUGGAUCACCU
Molecule: ribosomal RNA, 1067 nt
Filed under: Vibrio chagasii
Lineage: Bacteria; Pseudomonadati; Pseudomonadota; Gammaproteobacteria; Vibrionales; Vibrionaceae
Description: bacterial SSU rRNA
Rfam family: Bacterial small subunit ribosomal RNA
Source: RNAcentral